RNAcentral lists this long non-coding RNA (1009 nucleotides) under Homo sapiens (human). RNAcentral describes it as "HSALNT0315715". Lineage: Eukaryota; Metazoa; Chordata; Mammalia; Primates; Hominidae. The record is from RNAcentral.
CCUCCUCGCCGCUUCCUCUCCCUCCACCGCGCAGCUCCAGCCGCCUUGCCGCCGCCGCAUCCCCUUCCAAGUUCAGGCUGUGGGUGGAACCUGUUGCUUUAGCUCACGUUUCCCUUCCCCUCCGGGCUGCACGCUGAGGAUGACCUCAGCGAGGUGUGUGUAAGGGGAAUGGAGGGUUUGGCUUCCUUGAGACAGAGGAUCUUGCUCGCCUCAAAGAGGAGGGCAGUUUGCCCCCUUCCUCCUGACUCCAAGACAAAAGAGAGAAGACUGAAGAGUGGUAAAGCUUGUGGUGUGAGAUUUGGAUUGUUGUAAGACACAUUUGCGCUGCAUCCUGAAAACAGGAAGAGGUCAAAGGAAUAUCUUUAAAAGGGAUCCAGGGCCUCUCAGAGUUCACCUGAGCUUUCCCAAGUCUGGUUUGUUCUCUCUACCCUGCUGCUACUACUGCAAGUGACUUUCACAAGAUGCUUCUGAGCAUAGCAUUGCUCUGCUGUGACCACUGCAGAUGUCAAGAGAAUUUCUGCCUUUUGGAACUUGGACAAUAUUGGCCACCUACCCAGAGAGAGGAGAAGGAUAAUCCAGACAUAAAGUGUGACCCUGGAUGGGUGAAGCAUGGCUCUGGAACCAGCAGCAGCAGCAGCAGCAGCAGCAGCAAUAUCUUCCUAAUCCCUAGGUCGUUCCCAGAGCAAACGGUUCAGGGGGAAGCUUACUGAUUUCCGGUCCUCUGACUCAGGCAGAGUUGGCAGCUUCCUUCAGAGCCGAUUCUUCAUUGUUCCCUGUCAGCAAGUCCUGGAGGCCUGGCCUCAACACAUAGUAGCUCCCACACAUCCUUUGGAUCUCUGAUAAAGAGUCAUAUACUUAAAGAGCCAUCCUCACAUUCCUGCCCAGACUGUGAGCUGCAUGAGAGAGGCCAUGUCUCAUUUUGUUCCAUUACAUCUCCAGCACUUAAGAGUGCUGGACACAUAACGAGUGUCUGACACAUAACGAGUGCUGAAUAAAUGUUUGUUAACUG